This is a long non-coding RNA of Colossoma macropomum (tambaqui), 9121 nucleotides long. RefSeq lists it as uncharacterized. The record is from RefSeq and is a predicted model, not a curated record. NCBI's taxonomy places the organism in Eukaryota, Metazoa, Chordata, Actinopteri, Characiformes, Serrasalmidae. The transcript is spliced from 3 exons.
GCAAAGUAAGGUAAAGAGCAACCGCUGAAGGUGAAGACGGGAUUUUGGCUAAAAGCUCCCUGAGAGAAACGUCAGACCUUAUUAAAAAUACAGAGUGAAACAGUAUUUGGAAACAGUGACACCAGUGUUUGCCUUAUAUUGUUGUUUACAGUAAGUUAUUGACAGUGAAAACGUCAUAUAGAGUUGAUCGUAAAGCAAUUUUAUAUCCUUCACUUCCUCAGCCUGUAGAUGGAAAUAGAUGUAGAGGCGGCAGCUCUGUUGAAGGCCAGUCAGGUAAAAAUAUUUGUUAAAACAAACAAAAAAUAUUUAAAUGGAUUUGUAUUUGGGAAUCUGAGUUUAAUAAAAAAAUAAUGUAUUACUAAACACAGGAAGAGAGGGAGUGAUAUAAGCUAAAGAAGACUGACAGGGCUGAAGGAGCAGAUCUGGUGGAGGUUAGUGAUCAAGAAGAAAGCGAGGGAGAAUAGCUUUAGAUUUCAUUUAAAAUAAUAUUGAAUUUACUUAAACGUAACUGUGAAAAUAUGUUUGUCGCUUUGACCGUGAAAUUCUGUCACCUACCUUAUUAAUCAUGCCUACAGAGCAAAAUCACACUCUUUCUGAUUGCACCAACUGAGACUGAACUGUUCUAUAAUCUGUGUAUUUGAAUAAUAUAUGUAGGACCAUGAAGCUUAUCUAAGAGAGACGAGAUUUCACUGAUUUUUUCAGUACCUUUGAUUGAUCUGUGUCUGUUGUAAGUGGAUGUAUUUAGUGUCAUACUAGUCAUACCAGCUCUGUGCUUAAUACAAACUGCAGAGACAGAUGUACUGUGUGCCAGAUUUGACCAGUUAGCCAUUUUUGAUCAAUUUUCUGGCCAUAUUCAUUUAUGACUGUAAGGACUGGAUCAGAACCUGCUGAUGUACUAUGAGCAGGCAGGCCACAUGCAUGCAGGACUCAUGUUGAUGCAUGCACAUAUGCCUUUUUUUGGAAGAUGCUUGGCUGGUGUGCAGAAAAUCAGUGCAGAGAUGACUGGUGUUGUACCUGUAGACUGACCCCAUGGUGCAACAGUUUCUAUAGCGUCAUUCCUCAUCCACACUUAAACAUUUAUGACAAGUGUGUGGGUUGAGUAUCUCUUGAUGCACAUUAUGUUGAUUCCCUUUGGCAGGAAGGUGUUCAUGACGUUGCAUGCCUGUCAUGUUGGAGGGCAGUCUGACACCAGCAGAAGUGGCCCAGUUUGGAUAUCAUUCAGCUCGAUUUACAGCUGGAAUUUGAGACAGUGGCUUGCUGGUUUUGUGGCUAAUACGGGUAGAUAUCAUGGCUUUGGUUUUUCAUCAAGGGAGCACAAGGUUGAUGGGCUUGUUCUGACUCACAUACUCUUAAUCACCCUCUUGGUAACCAUAUGACAUACUCGUUAUUAAGAUAGCAGCUCCCUCCAGUAGUGUGGUGACUGCAUCUGGAACUGGUCCAGAUGAUUUAGGACAAAUACGCCAUUGCUUCCAUGGAACUCUUUAUCAGCACAGACUCUAAUCAUUGAGUGGCUCUUCCUGUUGGAACUGCUUAACUCCUAAGCUUUUUAAUGCCUUCCCUUCCUUUCCACUCAUUCUGGAAACACUCAUUGAGGAUCUAGGAUUGCAGUGGCUCUUUAUUUGCAGUCUUUUGAUAAACUUCCAGACCAUGGGUCCUAUGUCUAAGGGCUCACCACGCCAGGUUUCACUCAUGAGCAGGCAGUUAGACAACUGUAUAUGCAGGAAUACUGUUCCAGGACACGUGUGUUGUAGUGUGCGAAUGAUUCACGUGAGAGCUAAUGUAGUGCUCAGUUCCUGUGGUGAUAGAAGUCAUAGAGGACCUACCAACACCAUUCUCCUCACCAUUUGACUGGCAUUUCAGGUUAGGAUAAGUGCAUGGGUGGAUUAUCUGUAGGUGUACAUUAAUUUGAUUGAGUCCUUAAGGAUGUAUAGCAUCUUCACCCAUUGCAUUUAUUCAGAAUAGCUUGAGCUUUCUUCCUUUAUUAACAUUAAUACUGAAUUUUAUUACACAUAACUGUGAAAAUAUAUUUGUCGCCAUGACCAUAAAAUUCUAUCACCUACCUCAUUAAUCAUGCCUACAGAGCAAAAAUCACAAAAAAAUCACACUCUUUCUGAUUGCACUAACUGAGAACUCAUCUAUAAUCUGUGUAUUUCAAUAAUAUAUGUGGGACCUUGCAGCUUAUCUAAGAGAGAGGAGACAGUAUUGCUUGACAUCAGUAUCUUUGAUUGAUUUAUGUGGUAAGUGGAUGGAUUUAGUGUCAUAGUAGUCAUACUAGCUCUGUGCUUAAUACAAACUGCAGUGACAGAUCUAUUGUGUGCCGAUUUGACAGACUGGCCAUUUUUGAUACAUUUUUUGGCUGCUGCUAUUGUAAAAGUUCAUGAUGAACAGACAUUUGAGGCCAUUAAAAAUCUCCCUAGGUUUUACUCAUGAGGAACCUCAGGUCACUUUGCAUUUAUUGAGGCAGUACAUCCUGGUUGUGCCUUAGGUACACUUUCAUAAUAUCUCUUUGACUUAAGAUUUAUUCCUUCUAGCAUUAUUGUGAAGUGUGAGGUAUUAUUUUGAAAGAAUAAAGAGGCUCAUCCAUUGAAAAGUGUGGAUGACAGUUGUUGGAGACUUGGAAGCAGUGAGAUUACUAGAGGAUGACUUCUGUGUGAGCAGACUAUCUGUAUACUGUCUCACUGCUUAACUUGAUAUUAGACCUUGACCUGUCCGCAGGUGUACAAGGAGCAUCCAUCCAAAUUAUCCAAGUUCUCUCCAAAUGUGUUCUGCAUAGGCACUGCACUGCUAUCUCUGUAAUCAGAGACUGCACCUUAAACAAGGUGCUCAAUACUGCCAACUUUUUUAGUUAAAGUCCAAUUGGAAAUGAUUAUAACAAUGGAGGUCAUUUUACAACAAGGCUUGCAAACAGCAAUAAUAAGAACUGAAAUAUGUUUGUUUACCAUUUUAAACAAAGAGGCAAUCAUAGGAUGACUGUGGUGGUACUUUAGCAGUUCUUUAAGUUCCUGGGGCUUUAGAGAAAUGUAUUGUAAAAUUUGUAAUUUACUUUUGAUUUAAUCAUAAAUGAGGUUCAACAUUUUUACACUUUGCAAAUUAAAGUUUUUUAGUGUUUUUCAGCUUUUUAAAUGGUUUUCUAAACCACACCAAGUCUGAACCUCACUGUGUCACCUGCAACCAAGUCAAGAAAAGGGAGAGCAAAAUAUAGAUAAUAAAAGACAGAAAUGGUUAAUAGUUGUAUUUGUUUUAUUACAGCUAAACCGCUCUCUACAUAAACAAGUAACAUUCAUUAGGUAAACAAUGUAUUCCAAAGCAAAUAAUAAAUAAUUUAUUUGAUAUUUUGUACAAACCAAUAGUGGCUUGAUAUACAUAAUGAUUUCUCUCAAUGUACCAUAAAAUAAUACAAGAAUUUAAGGCAGAGAGAACUCAUGCUUGCCAGUCGUACUGGUACAGCUAAAAUGGGCUGACCCCCUUGUCUAGUGGUAUGAUUUUGCUUCUAAUUUGAAAAUGGUGUGAGGUGUGUUAACUGAGGGGCCAUUUAACAUGUAUACUGUAAAAGAAAGAGCUCGCAGUAUGUGACUGUGUGCUUGGCAAUCCUUGUGGGGGGUAAAAAUAAAUAAACCCUAGGGCUGCAAGCUGAAGCGAACUCAUCGUCAUGGCUUAAAUUCAGUGUAAUCUCAUCUUGGAGGUGGUUGAGAUCAGUUCAUGGUCCCUCAGUGCAUGUGUGUGAUGAUUUUAGUCAGGCUCCGCACGUAUAUAUGCUCUGUAUAUGCCUUAAAACGGCCAGUGUCUGGACCACAGUGACAGUGAGUAAUGGAUCUGCAGCCUGUCUAACUAUAUGAAGGGUCUUUUACCAGGUAUACGUCACAAUGGAGCCAGAGUAUAUCCACACUCAGCUGGCAUUCACUGUUAAAGUGUUUAAUUGCAACAAAAAGGUCAAAUCUGACACAGCAUGAUAGAUUCAGGAGAUGGAAUUAAUGCCUCAACCAUCUGGUACAGCACAGACAAAGAUCAAUAUGAGAGAACGAGAGACACAAGGACAAAUAAAAAGAUACUUGUUACAAUGCAAAGCAAGUGACAAGAGCUCUUUAAAUAAUUAAUAAGGAAAUAAAUGUUCAAUGACAGAUGACAGUAAAGCAUAAUUGUCAAACAAAUAGUAAAAAUAUAUAGAUUAAAAUAAAUAAAUUCAAUUUUAUACAAAGGGGUGGGGGGGGGGCAGCAACGAUGACGUAGCUGUGAGCUCACCUACAAAAACAUUUAAUAGAAUUUAAAAGGAUAGUUAAACAUUUUGGCAGUCAAGGCUUUCCUUCUACAUGCACAAAUUCACAUGGCUGUACUGUUUCUAUUAUGCUGUACGAGGAUGUAGGAAUCUACAGGAACAGCUACACAACUCCCUUAUAACAGCUUCAGAAGCGAGCCUCACAGGUGAAAAUUCCUAUAGGCAGUGGCAGGCCUGUCACAAUUAUUACAUAACUGUAAGCUUUCACUGUCACAUUUAAAAUGUUUAAAGUGUAACAAACAAUGCAAAUUGCAUUUUCAUCCACGUGGCUGUGGCAAUAAAAUAAAACAAAAAAAUGCAGAAGAAUUUUUAUUCAGACAGAAGUUGUAACUUCUGACUUAUCACUUCAGAGGGCAGCAGUGAGUAAUGUUUGUUUGUGAGCUUGAGCUAUGAAGUAUCAACAACUAUCUGCCAAUUUAGCCAUUUUACGCUUGUACUUUAAUAGUUGCAAUACAAUUAACAAGACAAUUCAAUUAUUUUUCAAUUAUUUAUACUGCAAUGAAUCAUCAGCUAAAAUGUAAUGAUCGUGACAAGCCUAGGCAGUUGAUUAAUGAGCGAUUUGGUGGUAAACAGGUCCAAAUAUCAAUAUUUCUCAAACAAUUUACAUAUAUUUGUUGAAUAUGUAAAUGUUGUAUUAGAACAGGGAUCUCCUGUUUCAGUAUUAGCUAAGAUUCUGUAGAUAUCCUAUCAUCAUGUUAAACAGUUACAGUCCAUUCGCACUGUAUGUAGAAUGAAAAGGAGGAGGGAAAAUAACAGUACUACUCUUCAUCAGUAAGAAAAAAAUACAUUGUCAAAACGUUAAACUAUCCCUUUAAAGAAACUCAGAGAGAUGAUCAUCACAGCCCCAAGGGCUAUGAGAAUACGGCAACUGUUAUCCCAAACCAUUGGAAGAGACAUCAGGUACGUAUGCUGAAUACAAUGCUAGUUUUAACCACUUCCAGGCAGUCAAGACAAAGUUCAUAUUUCUUUGUUUAUGCACUUGUUUACAUUUCUGACCAUGGGGGUGUGCUUCAAGUUGAAUACGCCCUGUUCAGACAGACAGACAAAAAUGUAUGAUCACUGCAACCGAGCGUAGUUCAGGAUAAUGUGGUCGUUAGGACAAUUUAAUGGAAGUGGUUCUGAUGUUCUGCAGAAGUGAAGGCUAAUAAUCAGCACAGGCAGCAUGUUUAAUAUGAGAAAGCUGGAGCCAAAAGCAAUUCCUCCUUCAACAUAAAACUCAGUGCUUGGCUCCUGAAAUAAAGCCAAUGUGCCCUUAAAGAGGGCUCUAAAUACAAUCUAAUUUCAGUGUCCCUUAAAGUCUGAAGGUGGAUAGAAUGGAACACCUCCAUCAGUCUUCUGUUAUAACACAAAAUUCCUCAGGUGAUUUACUUCAUAAACACAUCAUACCCCAGUACCCGACACUUUCAAUUUUGUCUCUGAUUUUUUUGCCCAAUUGAUGAGUGACUCAAAACAGAUCAAAAUUAGAUUAUUUCAAAAUGAGAUUUCUGCAUGAUUUGCUCAAAACUCAAUUUCUUUUGAAAAGAUUAGAAAGGAGAGCUAGGUGGAGGUAAAUGCAAAGCUGGAAUUAGAGGUGACUGUCGCUUCCGUUCCGAGCGUGCCUCAUGGCUAGAUCCUGUAAUGGCAUAAGGAAAUGCUUUUUAUACAGCAUACAAACUACGUAAGUUAAAAGCCUCAUAAAUUACCUGCACAAGAAAGUUUAAUUAAAUAACAUACUGACCCCUCAAAAGAUCAAAACAAUGUCUGAGGCCAGAGUCUUACGAUAAGACGAGGAAAAAAAAAACUGACCAAGAUGAAUCUGAUUCCAUGAUUAGGACUGCAAGUGUUUGUGGUGAAACAAAAUACCAAAAAAGAGUAUAAAAGGUACAGAAUAAGAUAGUCAAGGGACGACACACAGAGCAGUGAAAAAACAUCUUCAGUAUCCACACAAAAAAUCUCAACUGAAGUCACUCGCUGGGCAGGCAGCGUCCUGUUGGUUAUAUACAAAAGUAAAACUGAAAAUAGAUAUUUCUUCUCUGUACAGCAUUUUUUCUUCUUCUUCUCUUCUUUGUACAAAAGUCUUUGUUCUCUCCUUUUUCCCCCCUCUGCUCUCUCUGCCCCAUUCAUAUCUAAAUCCUCUUUGAGUGCACCAAAUUUCUCUCGUCUCCCAUGGAUGGUGGUAAGGGCUAGUCUUUGGGUGUGGCGCCCUCGUGUGGUCAGUCCAGUGAGAUGACGUCAGGGAUGGAGCCAUAUAUGACGGAGGCGGCGGCGUCUGAGCGUGAGCGGGACAUGCUGCUGUGGGGGUGUGUGUCCCGCAGGCUGCUGGAGGACACCAGACUGCUGCUGCUACCACUGCUGCUUCCCCCGCUGCCGUUCACCGGCGCCAGUGAACCGCUCACAGGUGUGCCCGCCUGCUCCAGGUACAGCUGCGAUGAGUUGUAGGGCAUGAAGCGGUUCAGAAGGAGCUCGUGGUCUUCUGAAGCUGACGCCGAGGCCGAUGCUGCAGCUGCAGCUGCCAUCACCAUGUUGUAAUGCUGGAGAUGAAGGAACAGAAAGAGGGGAAAUGAGCUGCGGUGCAGCACUAAUCACUGGUGGGAACGAUCUGACAGCAUAUAGCAGUAUAUAAAAGGAACAGCAGAAACUGAGUACGAUACAGAACCCUCACACGCACUACACUUAAUUCUUAGUUUUUCAUGCGAAAGCAAGACAUACACCUCAGUUUCCAUCGAUUUCGUUUUCAAUCAAGCUGAACAAUUUAAAUGUCCUUUAAGAUACUCAAAAGUAAUUAUAUUUUUCUUGCAAUCUGUUUUCUUGUAAUGCGUUUUCUUUUAAUGUGUAAUAGCCCACGUCCUGAAUCAGCUCCGAUAUGUCUGGCUUUACAGCAUUCUGUCGCCCUUGCAACCUGUUGCCAUGCUUGUUAAACUGAUAAAGCUGUGCAGCCUUUUACGCACAGCCUUUUGACUUUCCUCACAAAACUUGAAUAGAGGCUUAAAAGAUUAUGUUGUGAUUACAUCAGUUAUUAAAACAAAAAAGACAACAUAUAGCUACGAUAACGGCAGCCUUUAUUACUUCUUCACACAGUGAGCUUUAGCCAUUUCAUUAUUUUAACAGAAAGCAAUUUAUAGGCUGUAAACACAAUUUAUCAGACCUGUAGCAAGAACUACCAAAGCAUACCAAAAACAACCAAACUGGCCCUUUUUUUAAUUUAUUUUUUUGUUUGGCUAGUGACCUGAAGUUCUUUUUGGUGUCUAAUUAUAUAUUAAUAUACACUGUAUGAGUUACUAUUUUAUUUAAAAUAAAUUUAUAAAGUAAGUGAUUCAAAACUUGCAAAUGGUAGUGUAGGUUAAGUACAAGUUCUCCUUAAUUUACAUGCAGUGCUCCCUGCUAACUAAAACAACUGAGAGCUUACCGAAUGAUUUUCCCCUUGUAGAAAUGAAAAGAAAUUCAGAUCUGUGGAACAAAAAUAAAUGAACAGUAAGAGAUCGUAAAAAUACAAAAAAAGAUCACAUUGCACAAGUUUAUGCAUUUCUUUCUUGCCUUGGAGUGAAAAAAUGUAAAGGAAAUCAGCAAGCAGCCGUAAGUCUUACAGAAAACAUAACACACGCUCUGCUUAGCAGGCAGUUUAGGCACAUACCUGACAGGUCACUGGGUGUGUGGUAAUAGUGGCGGUAGUCCUGAAUGAGAGGAGGGGGAGGGGGGAUGUAGUUCGUUUCCACUGCUGGCAUGCUGGGAGCUCGCGACACUGGUGAUGCCUGAUGAUGAAGAUUCAACACCCUGCGUGGGGGAAAAAAAAACACAAAAUCUUAAUGAAAAAUAAACAACCGGACUCGGCUGCACCAGUUUCGUGCAAGUUUGAAUUUUUUAACUGUUUGUGUGUAAAGUCCUUAGUUAACACUAGUUAGAUUUAAAUUGUCCUUUUACUACAUUUGGUUGCAUCACAAAUCCUUAAGUCUUAGCUAGUAACAAUUAACUAACUAAAACCAGGGUGAUGAUUAGAGCUUUAAAGUAAAACUAAAGCACAAAGCAUUUAGUGUUUCUAUCUUGGUUAUCUUAACCAAAAGGGUGAAGUUAAGUAUUCUUUGUGCCAUCUAUGUGGUUUUCCUUAUUUAUAUACUUUUUUAUUUAGUGGUAGGUGUAAAUAUUUAGUAACUACUUAGCUCAGUGUAAACACUACUUUGUGUGGUGCAACCCAUAUUGGUUUAGUAAUGCAUAAACCUAAACUAAGGAAACACAUUACAGCUAGCCAACAUUUGAACUUAAACACAGCUGGUGCAACCGGCCCCUGCACUAAACUGAAACUUAAAAGAAAACUUCGUAAAUACAACACUUAGUCUACCGAUACUCUCCUGUGGAAAAAGAGGAAAAAUUAAAACUAAAAUUUUGCAGUUCACGUCCAGGUGAACUGUAAAAAUUGAAUUUUUUUCAGGCUUCUUGAAGACUUCGUCAUUGCCAGUGAAUGUGCACUGUAAUGGGAGACUGACCCUUUGCUGACAGGGGGUGAUGUAGGCGAUAGAGACGGACAGGCUCGUUUGGGAGGAGGCUCUUCAUCGUUAUCAUCAUCUGAGGAGCUGUCCAGUGUCAGGCCGUUGGAGGAGGCAGACACCUCCUGCACCACCUUCUUGGAUCUCAUAGGAGCCCAGCUGCCAUCCUCCUUAAACUGGAUCUCAUCACAGUCUACACAGCUGUUCAGUAUCUCCAUGAACAACCUGCACCCAAAAAACACAGGAUCUCCACAUCAUUCUUCUUCUCUUACUAACUCACAUUGUUUGUAGACGUAAAGACAAUUUGAAGACAAGACAUUAACUCAGGCAACAAAUGAAGUAAACACCAACUGUGUAUUUCUGUAAUAUUACACAAGAGCCAAAUAUUAAA